GGUUAAGUGACUAAGCGUACACGGUGGAUGCCUAGGCAGUCAGAGGCGAUGAAGGGCGUGCUAAUCUGCGAAAAGCGUCGGUAAGGUGAUAUGAACCGUUACAACCGGCGAUACCCGAAUGGGGAAACCCAGUGUGUUUCGACACACUAUCAUGUCAUGAAUACAUAGUGGCAUGAGGCGAACCGGGGGAACUGAAACAUCUAAGUACCCCGAGGAAAAGAAAUCAACCGAGAUUCCCCCAGUAGCGGCGAGCGAACGGGGAGGAGCCCAGAACCUGAAUCGGCUUGUGUGUUAGUGGAAGCGUCUGGAAAGUCGCGCAGCAAAGGGUGAUAGCCCCGUACACUAAAAUGCACAGGUCGUGAGUUCGAUGAGUAGGGCGGGACACGUGACAUCCUGUCUGAAUAUGGGGGGACCAUCCUCCAAGGCUAAAUACUCCUGACUGACCGAUAGUGAACCAGUACCGUGAGGGAAAGGCGAAAAGAACCCCGGCGAGGGGAGUGAAAUAGAACCUGAAACCGUGUACGUACAAGCAGUGGGAGCACCUUCGUGGUGUGACUGCGUACCUUUUGUAUAAUGGGUCAGCGACUUAUAUUUUGUAGCAAGGUUAACCGUAUAGGGGAGCCGUAGGGAAACCGAGUCUUAACUGGGCGAUUAGUUGCAAGGUAUAGACCCGAAACCCGGUGAUCUAGCCAUGGGCAGGUUGAAGGUUGGGUAACACUAACUGGAGGACCGAACCGACUAAUGUUGAAAAAUUAGCGGAUGACUUGUGGCUGGGGGUGAAAGGCCAAUCAAACCGGGAGAUAGCUGGUUCUCCCCGAAAGCUAUUUAGGUAGCGCCUCGUGAACUCAUCUUCGGGGGUAGAGCACUGUUUCGGCUAGGGGGCCAUCCCGGCUUACCAAACCGAUGCAAACUCCGAAUACCGAAGAAUGUUAUCACGGGAGACACACGGCGGGUGCUAACGUCCGUCGUGAAGAGGGAAACAACCCAGACCGCCAGCUAAGGUCCCAAAGUCAUGGUUAAGUGGGAAACGAUGUGGGAAGGCAUAGACAGCCAGGAUGUUGGCUUAGAAGCAGCCAUCAUUUAAAGAAAGCGUAAUAGCUCACUGGUCGAGUCGGCCUGCGCGGAAGAUGUAACGGGGCUAAACCAUGCACCGAAGCUGCGGCAGCGACGCUUAGGCGUUGUUGGGUAGGGGAGCGUUCUGUAAGCCGUUGAAGGUGGCCUGUGAGGGUUGCUGGAGGUAUCAGAAGUGCGAAUGCUGACAUAAGUAACGAUAAAGCGGGUGAAAAGCCCGCUCGCCGGAAGACCAAGGGUUCCUGUCCAACGUUAAUCGGGGCAGGGUGAGUCGACCCCUAAGGCGAGGCUGAAAAGCGUAGUCGAUGGGAAACAGGUUAAUAUUCCUGUACUUGGUGUUACUGCGAAGGGGGGACGGAGAAGGCUAGGCUAGCCGGGCGACGGUUGUCCCGGUUUAAGCGUGUAGGGGGUGUGACCUGGUAAAUCCGGUUACAU
This 1506-nucleotide ribosomal RNA is filed under the name Serratia marcescens. RNAcentral's name for it is "partial 23S ribosomal RNA". It matches the Rfam family "Bacterial large subunit ribosomal RNA", at positions 1 to 1551 of the family's 2925-position model. Lineage: Bacteria; Pseudomonadati; Pseudomonadota; Gammaproteobacteria; Enterobacterales; Yersiniaceae. The record is from RNAcentral.